UACCUUUAACAGCAUUGUCUGUCUAAGUGUGAAAGCUCACGGACAUCAUUAAUACACCAUAUCACCUGAAUACUCAGCAGAGGGGGCUGGCUCCUGUUCUCACACAUUGCUGAGAGAAAGCUGAGCUGUCCAGAGGUAUUCAGGAGCUUCCUGCAAUAACACCGUGCUGCCUGUCAUAAACACAUUACUUAAGGAAAGUUCCGUGUUCCAACAUCUGAUCUGCACAUUGGCUGAAGAUCCCAGAACUUUUCCUGAUGCCUGUGUAAGGGAGUUUUGCUCUGCCGUACUGUUCUCCUGCACUGAGCAAGUUACGAUGUCAGACAGUUCAUCUUCACUGGAGUUGUAACCAUCACACUGAAGACACCAUGGGAUGAAGCUCCCAUGUUGUCUUCACCUGGAGUCGACACCUUCAGGGAGAAGUUGGCAUCAAAUUAAACUCAGUGUGUCAGGGCAGCACGGAACUAACCCUGGUACAUGAUGGAUGAACCUGAGACUCUGAUUUAAAACUGACAAAAUGGUGCAAGAGCGUGCUGUUGUCCUUACUGUCCCUGUAAUUUCUCUGAGAUCCCCAUCACUGAAAACCAAGCCAAGCUGUGUUUCAGAGAUUUCAAUGCAGAAACAAGAAAAAGUUUCACUGAGGUUAAGUAAUUUUCAGCAUUGCUGUUGAGAAAUGCCAUCUACCAUGGCUGAAAUCACUGACAAGAACAUGCCAGCAAGACCCAAUUUGACAGCAAAAAAAGGAAGGGGAAAAAAUGAUUGAUUGAUUGAUUGAUUGAUGAAAAGAAUUAUUACAGUGUUUCCAGCUGUUUCCAUCACUCAGCUCCUUUGCAAAAUAAGAAAGAAGAAUGUCUGAGCCACAGCUCUCCAAGUACAUGAACGCUGUGGCCGGGGGAGACUCGUGGCUAUGGCUAACUCUGAGGGGAAAAUAAAAUCACAAAGAAACAACUUCUGAAAGAAGGGAGGAAAAUGAGAAGGGAUUAAUCAACAAGCAGCUGCUGGAAACUGUGAUACGACGUUGUUUCUGUCUUGUAAGCAGUCUGUCUUGUAGGCAGGACUUGAAACUAUGGAGAUACAAUGGAGAUGUUCCAGACCUGCUAACAGACCCCCUUAGUCAUGGAAGCAGCAACCUGUAGUAAAUCAUCCUGAAGGCCAAUGAAAGGUUUUUAACAACUUUAUUAAUGAACUGGAGAGGGAGGAGAAUGUCAGUGACAUCAGUAGGAAAUGUUACAUUUGUGUGUGUUGCAGGCAGAAAAAUUGCUCAAAGGCAGUUGUGGAGAUUAAAAUGAUAAGGCAGAAUUACUACAGACUCGUUCAAUUUUGGGAACUGUAACUGUUGAAAGGGGAGCCAAAUACAUUGUUCCUCACAACACGUACAGUCUGUCCAGAGAACAAGAGGAACUGCACUCUUGUAGAAAUGGAAGUCCAGCAGACAAAUAUCAAGGGGAGAUCAGCUGUUGGCAAGGGAUGGCUGGGAUUGUUCCACUGACCUGUUCCAUAGCUAUUCCUGGAAAAAGGUGCAAAGAAAGAGGAAAAAAACCCUAAAUUAAUCCAAAUGAAAAGGCUGGCUGACAUGGUCUAUGGCUGUGGUGAGGUACUGCUAAGUAAACAAAGCAUAUGGUGUUCCCCAACUGUGUCCAGCUUGGGAAAGAUGUAAAAAAAGCCCCCACAUGCAGUCUGUCAUGGAACACUGAAAUAGGAGAGCAAAGAAGUGGCUGUAAAUGUGGAUGUGU
Gallus gallus (chicken) is the source of this 1730-nucleotide long non-coding RNA. The record is from Ensembl. Lineage: Eukaryota; Metazoa; Chordata; Aves; Galliformes; Phasianidae.